RNAcentral lists this ribosomal RNA (1235 nucleotides) under metagenome. RNAcentral's name for it is "bacterial LSU rRNA". It matches the Rfam family "Bacterial large subunit ribosomal RNA", at positions 1564 to 2808 of the family's 2925-position model. The record is from RNAcentral.
UGAAUACGAGAUGCUACGGCGUCGAAGCAGUCUAUGUCAUACUUCCAAGAAAAGCUUGCACUGUCAUAAACAAAUAAUGCCUGUACCAUAACCGACACAGGUGGGUAGGUAGAGUAUACUAAGGGGCGCGAGAUAACUCUCUCUAAGGAACUCGGCAAAAUGACUCCGUAACUUCGGGAGAAGGAGUGCCUUAUUUAUAAGGUUGCAAUAACAAGAUCCAAGCAACUGUUUACCAAAAACACAGGUCUCCGCUAAGUCGUAAGACGAUGUAUGGGGGCUGACGCCUGCCCAGUGCCAGAAGGUUAAAGAAGUUGGUUAGCAUCCGCGAAGCUGAUAACUGAAGCCCUGGUGAACGGCGGCCGUAACUAUAACGGUCCUAAGGUAGCGAAAUUCCUUGUCGGGUAAGUUCCGACCCGCACGAAAGGCGUAAUGAUUUGGAUACUGUCUCGGAGAGGGGCUCGGUGAAAUAGACUUGUCUGUGAAGAUGCGGACUACCUGCACCAGGACAGAAAGACCCUAUGAAGCUUUACUGUAACCUGAAAUUGAAAUUGGACUUUACUUGCGCAGUAUAGGUGGGAGGCGUUGAGAAUAUUCUUGCGGGAUUAUUGGAGCCAUCAGUGAGAUACCACUCUUGUAAUGUUAGAUUUCUAACUUUGUAUCAUUAUCUGGUCAAAGAACAGUUUCAGGCGGGCAGUUUGACUGGGGCGGUCGCCUCCUAAACGGUAACGGAGGCGCACAAAGGUUUCCUCUGAACGGGUAGAAAUCGUAUCUAGAGUGUAAAGGCAUAAGGAAGCUUGACUGUGAGACCUACAAGUCGAGCAGGGACGAAAGUCGGUCUUAGUGAUCUGACGGUGCUGAGUGGAAAGGCCGUCACUCAACGGAUAAAAGUUACUCUAAGGAUAACAGGCUGAUCUCCCCCAAGAGUUCACAUCGACGGGGAGGUUUGGCACCUCGAUGUCGGCUCAUCGCAUCCUGGGGCGGUAGUACGUCCCAAGGGUUGGGCUGUUCGCCCAUGAAAGCGGUACGCGAGCUGGGUUCAGAACGUCGUGAGACAGUUCGGUCCAUAUCCGGUGUAGGCGUUAGAAUAUUGAGAGGAGCCUUCUUUAGUACGAGAGGACCGAGAAGGACAUACCUCUGGUGUACCAGUUAUCGUGCCAACGGUAAACGCUGGGUAGCUAUGUGUGGAGUGGAUAACCGCUGAAAGCAUCUAAGUGGGAAGCCCACCUCAAGAUAAG